This 1068-nucleotide long non-coding RNA is filed under the name Cricetulus griseus (Chinese hamster). RNAcentral describes it as "lncRNA (ENSCGRG00000024583.1)". The record is from RNAcentral. Lineage: Eukaryota; Metazoa; Chordata; Mammalia; Rodentia; Cricetidae.
GGAAGAUGUUGCUUGGUCAAACCCUCCCAUUGGGUGGGUCAGCUCCACUCAAACUACACAGAAUGGCUGAGUGUGGGGACAAGGACAAUGAAUAUAGAGCUUGAAGGAGAGAAAUGGACCCUGGGGAAAGAAGAAAAUCGGUGCCCACUUCCUGCCCACUUCCCAGGAGGAAAGCACAUAACCCAGCAGACAGUGAGAUGAGUCAGGAUGACUCCUUUACCACUGCUCCAAAAGAGAAAGUAAGUCUGUGAGCCCUGUUCCUUUCUGGGAACAGCCAUUGGGGUCUGGGUCCUAGAUGAGUUUCCUGUCUCUUCCCUCCCUCAGUGUCUCCCCACAACUACAAAGCAGCAGGUUUCACUAUGACGCUGAGAAUCCUUCUUUCAAGCUGUCAGCCAUCAGAAGUCGAUCCUGCCAUCAGCUGAAGCAGAUGCCGUAUCCAGGGGAUCAGAAGGUGUUGAUUGGCCAACGCGGAGUCAUGUCCUUGUCCUUGCCCUGUCUACAUUAAAGGUGGGGGUCAGCCCCACCCGCACUGCAUAGGUGAGUAUUGGGAGGUAAGGGAUCCCCGGAGGAUCACCACAGUGUACCCCGGUUGUCAGACUACAAGCCUACAGCCUCACACUGGCUUGGAAAAGUAAGAGGUGGGUUUGGGGAAGCAGAGGGGAGAGGCACAGGGAGGUGACAGCAAGCCAUGGGACAAGAGUCUCUGGCUCUGGAAAGGAGGUGACAAUGACUUCCAACCCAGCAGAGUGUGCGGCCCCACCAGGGAUCCAGAGAACGGCUUCCUCUUGGUGUCUUCAUGCCACAAGAUGUAAAAUAAUCCCCUCAGCUCAGAAAAACACAUUUUAUGGCUGUCUGACUCAUUUCCCACAAAGCUAGGUUCGCCGCCCGCCGCCCCCCCACUACGUUUACGGCUUUUGUUUUGAAAAAAAAAAAAAAAAAGUAUGCUGAAGAUUUUGGGAUGACUUUUGGACAUAAAUUGUUCCCUUCUUCACCCUCGUCCCAGGCCCCCCUCACCUAAUUUCUCAAACGUUGGCUGACAGUGGCUGUGAAGGACCUGAUCCAAGUGUG